ACAAGGUAGCCGUAGGGGAACCUGCGGCUGGAUCACCUCCUUUCUAAGGAAGCUGUGGAAUUGGUAAGACGAUCGGCACAUGUCCUCGGACAUGGCCCGAUAUGAACCUUCCCGUGCUUUUUAGAACAUAGAUGGCACCAGUCAGGUGACCAUCGAAACGUAAUACGCCGCGAUGACUUCGGUCACGACGGUAUGGCGAGCUUUCGCCGUCCACGUUUCUCUUUCUUCAAGAAGACAAAAAACCGCGUCGACCGGUUCCCCGAAUGGGCCCGUAGCUCAGUUGGUUAGAGCACACGCUUGAUAAGCGUGGGGUCGGAAGUUCAAGUCUUCCCGGGCCCACCAUUUGCAUUUGCAGAUGAGGGUUAGGGAUGAUGGAAUGUCAGGCGAUGCGGAUUGUUGCCGAACCUUGGGGUCUUGCCCCUGGGUGAUCGAGCUGGAGGGGCUGUAGCUCAGCUGGGAGAGCACCUGCUUUGCAAGCAGGGGGUCAGCGGUUCGAUCCCGCUCAGCUCCACCAAAUCGAUUGGUGUUGAAGCUGACGGCAUUUGUCUUUUGAAGAAAAUAAGGUUUUGCAUCGGUUUAGGCUGAUGCGUGUUCUGCAUACAUUGUGAAGAGAAGAUUGAUCUGGAGGCUUCCAGGUGUUUUGGGUUCUGCCCAAGGCGUCCGAGCCCAGUUCCUGUGAACCCAUGGAUGGCCUAGCCGGCCGGAUGUGGUGGAGGGAUUGGAGGUAGGAGGGAAGCUUGUCGCUCUGGGUCGUUGUUGUUUGCUGAUCUUUAGGGAUGAGCAUCUGACGGACGACUUGAUUGCCGUUGCCUGACCGCGCGGUAUCGGAUCAUAUCUCGAGAAGCUGGUCUUAAGACAGGCUGCAAGUGAGCUGCUCGGCGUAGCUCCAAUAAAGCAGACCUGUCGAACACGUUAAUGGCAUUGUUGGAUUGACUGGGUUGUAAAGG
RNAcentral lists this transfer RNA (947 nucleotides) under Rhizobium leguminosarum. RNAcentral describes it as "partial contains 16S ribosomal RNA, 16S-23S ribosomal RNA intergenic spacer, and 23S ribosomal RNA". The stretch from base 266 to 339 matches the Rfam family "tRNA". Lineage: Bacteria; Pseudomonadati; Pseudomonadota; Alphaproteobacteria; Hyphomicrobiales; Rhizobiaceae. The record is from RNAcentral.